UACGUAGGGUGCAAGCGUUAAUCAGAAUUACUGGGCGUAAAGCGUGCGCAGGCGGCUUUGCAAGACAGAUGUGAAAUCCCCGGGCUUAACCUGGGAACUGCAUUUGUGACUGCAUGGCUGGAGUGCGGCAGAGGGGGAUGGAAUUCCGCGUGUAGCAGUGAAAUGCGUAGAUAUGCGGAGGAACACCGAUGGCGAAGGCAAUCCCCUGGGCCUGCACUGACGCUCAUGCACGAAAGCGUGGGGAGCAAACAGG
This 253-nucleotide ribosomal RNA is filed under the name uncultured bacterium. RNAcentral's name for it is "partial 16S ribosomal RNA". It matches the Rfam family "Bacterial small subunit ribosomal RNA", at positions 524 to 776 of the family's 1533-position model. The record is from RNAcentral.